UGGAAACGGUGAGUAAUACCGUAUACGCCCUCAGGGGGAAAGAUUUAUCGGAGAAGGAUCAGCCCGCGUUAGAUUAGGUAGUUGGUGGGGUAACGGCCUACCAAGCCUACGAUCUAUAGCUGGUUUUAGAGGAUGAUCAGCCACACUGGGACUGAGACACGGCCCAGACUCCUACGGGAGGCAGCAGUAGGGAAUCUUGGACAAUGGGGGCAACCCUGAUCCAGCCAUGCCGCGUAGUGAAGAAGGCCCUAGGGUCGUAAAGCUCUUU
Molecule: ribosomal RNA, 268 nt
Filed under: uncultured Alphaproteobacteria bacterium
Lineage: Bacteria; Pseudomonadati; Pseudomonadota; Alphaproteobacteria
Description: partial 16S ribosomal RNA
Rfam family: Bacterial small subunit ribosomal RNA
Source: RNAcentral